Molecule: ribosomal RNA, 609 nt
Filed under: uncultured bacterium
Lineage: Bacteria
Description: bacterial SSU rRNA
Rfam family: Bacterial small subunit ribosomal RNA
Source: RNAcentral
CCUACGGGAGGCAGCAGUAAGGAAUAUUGGACAAUGCUCGCAAGAGUGAUCCAGCCAUGCCGCGUGCAGGAAGAAUGCCCUAUGGGUAGUAAACUGCUUUUGAACUAGAGAAAACCCCAGUACGUGUACUGGGCUGAUAGUAUAGUUAGAAUAAGCAUCGGCUAACUUCGUGCCAGCAGCCGCGGUAAGACGAAGGAUGCAAGCGUUAUCCGGAUUCAUUGGGUUUAAAGGGAGCGUAGGUGGACUGAUAAGUCAGUGGUGAAAUCUCCGAGCUUAACUCGGAAAUUGCCAUUGAUACUGUUGGUCUUGAGUACAGUUGCUGUGGGCGGAAUAUGACAUGUAGUGGUGAAAUACAUAGAGAUGUCAUAGAACACCGAUUGCGAAGGCAGCUCACAAAGCUGUAACUGACACUGAGGCUCGAAAGUGCGGGGAUCAAACAGGAUUAGAUACCCUGGUAGUCCGCACCGUAAACGAUGAUUACUCGCUGCUAGGGGGCAACCUUUAGUGGCUUAGCGAAAGCGAUAAGUAAUCCACCUGGGGAGUACGCCGGCAACGGUGAAACGUUAAGGAAUUGACGGCGNGAGAGNGCGAGGCGACACGAGGGAGAGG